AUUUUAAGAACAGGCAGAAAUAAAAUACAAAGUUUAAAAUGUCUUAGUUCUGAAUGGACUUAAUUAUUUUUGUGUAGUGGGGGAAAUCACACUGAAAUGUAGCGGAGGCUGAGGUCCAAGAGAUGAGCUAAAACAAACUCUCUUUGGAUUAAGAUUAUCAGAUGUUUUUCUUCUUUUUUUUUUACAACCAAUUUUUUGCAUCUGUAGUUUAUUUCAAUUAAGUAAUCUUACACAUGUAAUAUGAUGUGCAUGCAUUUAUAUCAAUGUUUACACACAAUAUUAUUUAACAAGUCACUCCUAAAAGUUACAUACCCAAAGAAAUAAACUAUGUGUAGUUAUUACAUCUUUAAAAUCAAGUUACUGUGACUUAUAAUGUCUUCCAUUUCGAUUUAGAUUUUAGCAGACCACAGAAAAGUGUAAGGGAGGGGGAGGGGAGCCUUCAGUUGAACACCUGCACUGCUGACCUUUCAACAAGCCUAGUUGAAUUCAUGGGAAAUGGGAAUCUGUUAAACUAAUACAAAAUGGAUCUAUGCAAUGUCUUCAAAUGAUUCUGCAUCAUGUAAAAAAACAUGUCUAAAAUUCUAGUUCAACAAGAUAAUAUGUUAGUAAAACUAGUUGUUGUUUUUUUUUUUAUAAAUUUUCUUCCAACAAGCACAUUUGCCAAUAGAACUAAACAUUCGUACAGGUCUUAAACGCAUCUCAAGAAAUGUAUCAAAAGUCACUUGCAGCAGGAGCAGAAACAGGAGCCAGGUCAAGAAACAAGUCUUGUAAUCGGAGAUAACAGCAUUUUUUCCGAAAUCUUGGGAAACAUCAUAGAAGAUAAUGAUCAGCAAAACAAAGGAAGGAUGAGGGAAGGAAAGGAACUUGAUGCAGUGACCCUAAGAUCUCCAAGUGAGAACCAAGGAGAACCAUCAAAGCAGUCUAAGCAGGCAGGAAAAACUGGCAAAGAUCAGGAUGUGAAUAGACCAGCUAUUGAACCUACAUCUCAUCGACGGCUUUGGAGUAAGGCCGAAAAGGCAUCAGUAUGGCAACAGCUUUGCCAAUAUGUAACCUUAGAGAGUUCCUGGUAAAGAACCAUGUCUUGAAGCACUUAAAGUUGAGCCUGCACUGACAAGCCAAACUUGGAAAGACAUAAAAAACAAGUUUACAAUACUAUUACUGUUCAAAAGCCGAAAAAACAUUCUACAUUAGAUAUGGUCAAUCUUACAUUGUUUGGUUAAAACUACAAAAAAAGUUGUAAGCAGUGCAUAUUUGGCAAUGGUCCUUUGCCUAGUGUUUGGACAGCAGCACAAAUAUGUAUUUUUGUUCCAUAAACAAAUAAAAUAGUUUGCAUUCGGUCUCCACAUUGUGUUCUUUAGUAUUUAAAAUGUUUAUCUUAGUUCACAAAGCCUGUAUAAUGUAGUUAAAUUGGCACUACUAUAUCUAUAAAGGACAGUAUAUGUGAGAAGAUAUGAUGCCGGGGGUUAAGGAAAAAAAUAAUUAAUUAUUAGAAGCUUAGAAUGGCUUUUUUGAUGAAAGAAAGCUUGGCUGUUGGUGAGAAAAAACACACCCAAAUCUACCUGGCAACAACAACUGGUCCACACAAGUCCACAAGAAAAAGAUUUAUUUUAUUUUGAGCU
Molecule: long non-coding RNA, 1619 nt
Organism: Fundulus heteroclitus (mummichog)
Lineage: Eukaryota; Metazoa; Chordata; Actinopteri; Cyprinodontiformes; Fundulidae
Exons: 4
Source: RefSeq, a predicted model, not a curated record